GACGAACGCUGGCGGCGUGCUUAACACAUGCAAGUCGAACGGAAAGGCCCUGCUUUUGUGGGGUGCUCGAGUGGCGAACGGGUGAGUAACACGUGAGUAACCUGCCCUUGACUUUGGGAUAACUUCAGGAAACUGGGGCUAAUACCGGAUAGGAGCUCCUGCUGCAUGGUGGGGGUUGGAAAGUUUCGGCGGUUGGGGAUGGACUCGCGGCUUAUCAGCUUGUUGGUGGGGUAGUGGCUUACCCAGGCUUUGACGGGUAGCCGGCCUGAGAGGGUGACCGGCCACAUUGGGACUGAGAGACGGCCCAGACUCCUACGGGAGGCAGCAGUGGGGAAUAUUGCACAAUGGGCGGAAGCCUGAUGCAGCAACGCCGCGUGCGGGAUGACGGCCUUCGGGUUGUAAACCGCUUUCGCCUGUGACGAAGCGUGAGUGACGGUAAUGGGUAAAGAAGCACCGGCUAACUACGUG
This 468-nucleotide ribosomal RNA is filed under the name uncultured bacterium. RNAcentral describes it as "partial 16S ribosomal RNA". It matches the Rfam family "Bacterial small subunit ribosomal RNA", at positions 28 to 507 of the family's 1533-position model. The record is from RNAcentral.